UGUGUGAAAUUGUUAUCCG
RNAcentral lists this ribosomal RNA (19 nucleotides) under Tetrathylacium macrophyllum. Lineage: Eukaryota; Viridiplantae; Streptophyta; Magnoliopsida; Malpighiales; Salicaceae. The record is from RNAcentral.